AACGCAUCUUGCACCCUUUGGCCUUCCAAAGGGUAUACCUGUUUGAGUAUCAUUAAUAUCAUCAACAUAUUAAUUUAUAUAAUGUGUUUGGAUGCUGAAGGCAUUGCUGGCUUUUAUAGUUGGCUCCUUUCAAAUGUAUUAGCAGAAUUAUAUAUAACUGGCUUCAGUUUUGAUAAUUAAAUUUUAUCUAUGCUGUCGCUUGUUAUUUUUUUGUUCAGCUUAAAAUUGUCUUUUAGACUGUCUCCAAGGCAAUAAGAACCUAAAUUGAUCUCAAAUCAGGUAGGAUUACCCGCUGAACUUAA
RNAcentral lists this unclassified non-coding RNA (302 nucleotides) under uncultured fungus. RNAcentral describes it as "sequence contains 5.8S rRNA gene, ITS2, 28S rRNA gene". The record is from RNAcentral. Lineage: Eukaryota; Fungi.